RNAcentral lists this ribosomal RNA (39 nucleotides) under uncultured Elaphomyces. RNAcentral's name for it is "partial 28S ribosomal RNA". The record is from RNAcentral. Lineage: Eukaryota; Fungi; Ascomycota; Eurotiomycetes; Eurotiales; Elaphomycetaceae.
UGACCUCGGACAGGAGGAUCCGCUGCUUAACUAUCAUAG